UACGUAGGGGGCAAGCGUUGUCCGGAAUCAUUGGGCGUAAAGCGCGCGUAGGCGGCCCGGUAAGUCCGCUGUGAAAGUCGGGGGCUCAACCCUCGAAAGCCGGUGGAUACUGUCGGGCUAGAGUGCGGAAGAGGCGAGUGGAAUUCCUGGUGUAGCGGUGAAAUGCGCAGAUAUCAGGAGGAACACCUGCGGUGUAGACGGCUUUCUGGACCAUUACUGACACUGAGACACGAAAGCGUGGGUAGCAAACAGG
This 253-nucleotide ribosomal RNA is filed under the name uncultured bacterium. Its description in RNAcentral is "partial 16S ribosomal RNA". It matches the Rfam family "Bacterial small subunit ribosomal RNA", at positions 524 to 776 of the family's 1533-position model. The record is from RNAcentral.